GGAGUAUGGGCCGUGUCUCAGUCCCAUUGUGGCUGAUCAUCCUCUCAAACCAGCUACUGAUCGUCGCCUUGGUGGUCCAUUACACCCCCAACUAGCUAAUCAGAUGCAGACUCAUCCCAGAGCACCGGAGUUUUCACGAAUAGCAUCUCAGCUACGCGCAUAUGCGGUAUUAGCAGAUGUUUCCAUCUGUUGUCCCACUCUCUAGGGCAGAUUCUCUACAUUUUACUCACCCGUCCGCCACUUAUGUAUCUCCGAAGAGACCUUAUCGUUCGACUUGCAUGUAUGAAGCACGCCGCCAGCGUUCGUC
This 307-nucleotide ribosomal RNA is filed under the name uncultured cyanobacterium. RNAcentral describes it as "partial 16S ribosomal RNA". Lineage: Bacteria; Bacillati; Cyanobacteriota. The record is from RNAcentral.